GACGAACGCUGGCGGCGUGCUUAGCACAUGCAAGUCGAACGGAAAGGCCCUGCUUUUGUGGGGUGCUCGAGUGGCGAAGGGGUGAGUAACACGUGAGUAACCUGCCCUUGACUUUGGGAUAACUUCAGGAAACUGGGGCUAAUACCGGAUAGGAGCUCUUGCUGCAUGGUGGGGGUUGGAAAGUUACGGCGGUUGGGGAUGGACUCGCGGGUUAGCAGCUUGUUGGUGAGGUAGGGGCUUACCAAGGAUAUGAAGGAAAGCCGGCCUGAGAGGGUGAUCGGCCACACUGGAAAUGAGACACGGGCCAGAAUCCUACGGGAGGCAGCAGUAGGGAACCGUGCGCAAUGGGCGAAAGCCUGACGGAGCAACGCCGCGUGAGUGAUGAAGGUCUUCGGAUCGUAAAACUCGGUUAUUAGGGAAGAACAUAUGUGUAAGUAACUGUGCACAUCUUGACGGUACCUAAUCAGAAAGCCACGGCUAACUACGUG
RNAcentral lists this ribosomal RNA (488 nucleotides) under uncultured bacterium. Its description in RNAcentral is "partial 16S ribosomal RNA". It matches the Rfam family "Bacterial small subunit ribosomal RNA", at positions 28 to 507 of the family's 1533-position model. The record is from RNAcentral.